RNAcentral lists this microRNA precursor (95 nucleotides) under Canis lupus familiaris (dog). Its description in RNAcentral is "mir-8799 microRNA precursor family". It matches the Rfam family "mir-8799 microRNA precursor family". The record is from Rfam by way of RNAcentral. Lineage: Eukaryota; Metazoa; Chordata; Mammalia; Carnivora; Canidae. RNAcentral also lists the same sequence under 1 other name.
AAGGGGAGCGACAGAUCCUGGGCUGUGUCCCCCGGUGCCCUGGGCUCUGGGGCCUGCACCACUGGAAUCGCGCUCCCGGGGCUGUGCAGCCCCCU